AGCCUUCUUAAUAGAAUCUGCUGACUUGAAAAUAGUAGAGACAGUAGAUGGAGUCAAGAUGGUGGGCCAGCAAUGCUAUUAGUGUUAAGACACGAAGGGUUGAUACUGGUAGAGCAGUCCAACCUGGGGACACUUCACCUCUGGUCUAGUUCCUGAGAGAGAGAGAGAGAGAGAGAGAGAGAGAGAGAGAGAGAGAGAGAGAGAGAGAGAGAGAGAUCAUCAAGAAGUAGCAGGCUUAAGUUUAAUCUAAUGAACUUAAAACAGUUUUAUCUAUGUAGUGGUGGAAUGCUGGAACAGGUAUGAAUUAGGAUUAUUGAUGCACACAUUAUUAUACCUGUACCUUGUUUUUGUACAAGGACUGACAGGUUUACACAUCAUAAAGCUCCAUGUAUGUGGUCUUGCCAUGUCAGCCAGCUGAUAUAUCUUCCCUUCUUGCAGGUAUGGAAUCCAGCAGUCACCAUCUCUCCUAGUUAUUCUGUUGAUUUAUCAGGAAACUUACAAGCUGCUUCAAGGAUAACCACUUCUUGAGUGUGUGUGAUUUGUAGAAGGCAGAUACGUCCACUCAACACCUUAGAUUUUCAGUGAUGCAUAUAAUAUCAGGAAACGACAGAAUUUAAAGAAAGACGAGCAUUUUUAGUGGCUGGGGUCAUGAAAAUACUGUCAUCCCUUGCCGAACACGAAUCGGUAAAAUAUACCAUAAUUUCGCCUUGAAUCUCCUGCUGGUCCUGGUGGAUGCACGCGACCUCCCCUCCCAAGUGUCUUAGACUCACCCUGGGGCUGGCGGUAUCACGCUGCCUCGUGCCACUAGCUCUCUCCUUGUCGCCCAACACGACGAGCUCAGGAACCUAACCGUCGUGUUGGCGAGGUAUGUUCCUGACAGUAUUAUAUCCUUUAAUAAAAUUUUAUUAUUUUUAUUAUAUCUUUUCAGAUCAAAUGAAGGUAAACUUCUAUUACAUGGAAUGUUGCUUCUCAACCAUCAAGGAGUAGUUUGAGGCUCCAGGACAACUGUAGAGAAAAAAAGCACAGGUAGCCUUCAGAGAUGUGUGGUGUGGUGAGAUCAUCAGGGAGAGGGUGCUGCUCUUAUCACCUCCAUGAGCAGGUCUCGGGGAGGCUUCCUCUUGUGACUGGUCUGAGGCAGGUGAUAACAUGGCAGGACAAGAGGUAAGUGCUUCAGUGGAAGGCAGCUGUGCUCCCCACAGUGGGUAUACUCCUGUCCUCACUCAGCGAUAUGAUGUACCAUGAUGCCUGCCUCUUGCUGGUCUCUAGAUCCCAGUGCACUUUCCCAGUGCACUUUACUUCGUGGGUGUGUUGUCAUGCAGCUCUCCUCGCUUGCUUCCAGCUGGGUGGCAUAUGCCUGGUGGGACCUGUGGCAGCUAAUUUGACAACCUCAGUGUCCCCAUAUUCCCACGUGACUGGGAAUCCAGUACAGCCUAACAUGUAUCCCCUGCUUGGCAAAGAUAUGGAGGUGAUGGGAUACUGCGCUGCAAGACCUGCAGCGCUGACUAAGUUGGUGUAGAAGACUGUCACCUCUGGGGAGGGCAUCUGCAUACUUGAGCAGUGCUGUGCCCAGCUGGAAGGGGAAAACAACCAGCUGUUCCAUCAACAGCAGGUUGAGAAUGAUUGGGCUGAGAAUGCUGCCGUGGGGCGUCCCGUUCUUGAGCUUCCACUGAAGCUGAACUUGUGGCCCUGCAAUUUAACCCAGGUGAGAUGGUGCUGGAGGUAGUCCUGGACCCAGGUGAGUUUCUUCCUCCCUCGAACCCCUUUCCUUGCCAGGGUGGCCAGCUUGAAAGCUUUCUCCAGGUUGAGGAAGACUACAGCAGUGGUUGACCCGAGUCAGGAGGGAGAUGAUGAUGACUCUGUCUGCUAUGCUUAAGCCCCUGGUGAACGUCCAUGUACAGCAGGCGGCCCACCUAUCCAGGACAAGUUGAGCAGGGACAGCAGUGCAGCAUCUCUGGCUGCAGGACCUGAUGUGGUAGCCUGAGUGUUGGAGGCUCACCCAGUGAAGGUAUAGGUGAGCGCCUCUGUCUACUGCUUUGGGUGUGGGCGGGGGAAGCAGUAUUGCUUUCCCCCACAGCUGAAGGUGGUGCACCAUUGCAGCCCCUUUACCUUCUUAACUCAGUG
This is a long non-coding RNA of Portunus trituberculatus (swimming crab), 2121 nucleotides long. RefSeq lists it as uncharacterized. The transcript has 5 exons. Lineage: Eukaryota; Metazoa; Arthropoda; Malacostraca; Decapoda; Portunidae. The record is from RefSeq and is a predicted model, not a curated record.